CGUGGCGGACGGGUGAGUAACGCGUGGGUAACCUGCCUCAUACAGGGGGAUAACAGUUAGAAAUGACUGCUAAUACCGCAUAAGACCACAGCACCGCAUGGUGCAGGGGCAAAAACUCCGGUGGUAUGAGAUGGACCCGCGUCUGAUUAGGUAGUUGGUGGGGUAACGGCCUACCAAGCCGACGAUCAGUAGCCGACCUGAGAGGGUGACCGGCCACAUUGGGACUGAGACACGGCCCAA
This 240-nucleotide ribosomal RNA is filed under the name uncultured bacterium. RNAcentral's name for it is "partial 16S ribosomal RNA". It matches the Rfam family "Bacterial small subunit ribosomal RNA", at positions 94 to 334 of the family's 1533-position model. The record is from RNAcentral.